AUUUUUAGGCAAACGCUGCAUUUUAAACGUAAUGUAGAGGAAAGUCCAUGCUCGCACCGCUUCUGUGAUGACGGUAGUGUUUGUGUAUAGGGAAUAAAUAACCUAUAGUAGCUUUUUGCUAACGGCGAAAAAAGUCCUAAGGGUAACUACGGGCAAUUUUCAUAAAGUGCCGCAGUGACGAUAUUUCUUGAAAAAGAAGAGUGAAACGUUGGUAAACCCCGCAAGCGAGAAACCCAAAAUAUGGUAGGGGAACCUUCAGAGGAGAACUGAAUCUAAUGAAGGAUGAUUAUUCAUAGAUAAAUGUUUGCCACCUUUAUGGUACAAAACAUGGCUUAUUAAG
This 340-nucleotide RNase P RNA is filed under the name Bacilli bacterium. Its description in RNAcentral is "RNase P RNA component class B". It matches the Rfam family "Bacterial RNase P class B". Rfam says of the family: Ribonuclease P (RNase P) is a ubiquitous endoribonuclease, found in archaea, bacteria and eukarya as well as chloroplasts and mitochondria. Its best characterised activity is the generation of mature 5'-ends of tRNAs by cleaving the 5'-leader elements of precursor-tRNAs. Lineage: Bacteria; Bacillati; Bacillota; Bacilli. The record is from RNAcentral.